GCCUCUAUAGCUCAGUGGUAGAGCACUGGUCUCGUAAACCAGGGGUCGUAAGUUCAAAUCUCACUGGAGGCA
This 72-nucleotide transfer RNA is filed under the name Ciona intestinalis (vase tunicate). RNAcentral describes it as "tRNA-Thr (CGT) (tRNA-Thr-CGT-10-1)". It matches the Rfam family "tRNA". From Rfam's summary of the family: Transfer RNA (tRNA) molecules are approximately 80 nucleotides in length. Their secondary structure includes four short double-helical elements and three loops (D, anti-codon, and T loops). The record is from Rfam by way of RNAcentral. Lineage: Eukaryota; Metazoa; Chordata; Ascidiacea; Phlebobranchia; Cionidae.